AAAUUGAAGAGUUUGAUCAUGGCUCAGAUUGAACGCUGGCGGCAGGCCUAACACAUGCAAGUCGAGCGGUAGCACAGAAGAGCUUGCUCUUUGGGUGACGAGCGGCGGACGGGUGAGUAAUGUCUGGGAAACUGCCUGAUGGAGGGGGAUAACUACUGGAAACGGUAGCUAAUACCGCAUAACCUCGCAAGAGCAAAGAGGGGGACCUUCGGGCCUCUCGCCAUCAGAUGUGCCCAGAUGGGAUUAGCUAGUAGGUGAGGUAAUGGCUCACCUAGGCGACGAUCCCUAGCUGGUCUGAGAGGAUGACCAGCCACACUGGAACUGAGACACGGUCCAGACUCCUACGGGAGGCAGCAGUGGGGAAUAUUGCACAAUGGGCGCAAGCCUGAUGCAGCCAUGCCGCGUGUGUGAAGAAGGCCUUCGGGUUGUAAAGCACUUUCAGCGGGGAGGAAGGCGGUAAGGUUAAUAACCUUGCUGAUUGACGUUACCCGCAGAAGAAGCACCGGCUAACUCCGUGCCAGCAGCCGCGGUAAUACGGAGGGUGCAAGCGUUAAUCGGAAUGACUGGGCGUAAAGCGCACGCAGGCGGUCUGUUAAGUUGGAUGUGAAAUCCCCGGGCUUAACCUGGGAACUGCAUUCAAAACUGACAGGCUAGAGUCUUGUAGAGGGGGGUAGAAUUCCAGGUGUAGCGGUGAAAUGCGUAGAGAUCUGGAGGAAUACCGGUGGCGAAGGCGGCCCCCUGGACAAAGACUGACGCUCAGGUGCGAAAGCGUGGGGAGCAAACAGGAUUAGAUACCCUGGUAGUCCACGCUGUAAACGAUGUCGAUUUGGAGGUUGUGCCCUUGAGGCGUGGCUUCCGGAGCUAACGCGUUAAAUCGACCGCCUGGGGAGUACGGCCGUAAGGUUAAAACUCAAAUGAAUUGACGGGGGCCCGCACAAGCGGUGGAGCAUGUGGUUUAAUUCGAUGCAACGCGAAGAACCUUACCUACUCUUGACAUCCAGAGAACUUAGCAGAGAUGCUUUGGUGCCUUCGGGAACUCUGAAACAGGUGCUGCAUGGCUGUCGUCAGCUCGUGUUGUGAAAUGUUGGGUUAAGUCCCGCACGAGCGCACCCUUAUCCUUUGUUGCCAGCGAUUCGGUCGGGAACUCAAAGGAGACUGCCGGUGAUAAACCGGAGGAAGGUGGGGAUGACGUCAAGUCAUCAUGGCCCUUACGAGUAGGGCUACACACGUGCUACAAUGGCGUAUACAAAGAGAAGCGACCUCGCGAGAGCAAGCGGACCUCAUAAAGUACGUCGUAGUCCGGAUUGGAGUCUGCAACUCGACUCCAUGAAGUCGGAAUCGCUAGUAAUCGUAGAUCAGAAUGCUACGGUGAAUACGUUCCCGGGCCUUGUACACACCGCCCGUCACACCAUGGGAGUGGGUUGCAAAAGAAGUAGGUAGCUUAACCUUCGGGAGGGCGCUUACCACUUUGUGAUUCAUGACUGGGGUGAAGUCGUAACAAGGUAACCGUAGGGGAACCUGCGGUUGGAUCACCUCCUUA
This 1540-nucleotide ribosomal RNA is filed under the name Pectobacterium carotovorum subsp. carotovorum PCC21. Its description in RNAcentral is "bacterial SSU rRNA". It matches the Rfam family "Bacterial small subunit ribosomal RNA". The record is from RNAcentral. Lineage: Bacteria; Pseudomonadati; Pseudomonadota; Gammaproteobacteria; Enterobacterales; Pectobacteriaceae.